This 1184-nucleotide long non-coding RNA is filed under the name Parus major (Great Tit). RNAcentral describes it as "lncRNA (ENSPMJG00000015728.1)". The record is from RNAcentral. Lineage: Eukaryota; Metazoa; Chordata; Aves; Passeriformes; Paridae.
AAAACACAAAACAGAGGACUGGUCACAAGCAGAGGAAGUAAUAGUCUGCAUCAACAGUUUAUCCAUAGCAUUUAACAGGGAAUUCUCAUCUGCAAGACAGAUACCAAGCAGAUGAUUAAUUAGUUUUCAAUUCAGAACAAUGAUUUCAUCCUAUUUGAUAAACUCUCAAACAGAGCUGAAUUGCCCCUGUAUGAACUCCCCUGACAUGAGGGCAUCAUUACAGGUUUACUUAAAACCUCUUCUUUUCUGUUUCAGAUGUCUUUUGCUGCAGAUUUUUUUUGUUUUCGUUUAUAUUCACAAGGUUUCUGUGAAGAGAGGGAUGUUUCUUAAAUCUCCAGGCAAGAUGAGUGCUGCAUACCUUGACUCCAGCCAUGACAACACAAUUCCCAUGAAGCAGCCCUUGAAAAUCACUCUGGAGCUCACACAGCAGGAGACUGAAGAGCAUAAACCCAAUGCAAGCCCAAGCUUCCUUACACAUAAUUCCUUAGCUCUGUGGGGCUGCAUGCCCGUCUUUGGCCCACCCUGGUGUACCCUUGUUACAGGAGUGUGGCAAAAAUGGGGGUUCUGAAUUGAUCCAGGUCUGUUCUGGGCCUCUGCAAGUGUCUGAAGGAACUGUGUCUAUCUGGAAAAAAGAUUGAGCUUGUAAUAUGCAUAGAGGACAUCUUCAAAUCUAAACCAUUUGAAAAACCAAAAAAGGAAGUAGCACCUACUUCUUUCCAUGCCGUACUGAUGUAGCUGUACUCAACACCCAAUGCAGUGAGGAGUGGAUGUGCUAUUCAGCAGUCCUCCUCAUCAAGGACUUAGCAAUACUCAGUUUUCUUUAUACACACUGACACAUUUAGGCCUCCAUGGAGCUGUAACAUUUCAUUUUACCUCAGUGACGCUUCCAAUGUUCUGAAAGUGGAGUUUCAAAUGCAAGUUUUCACCCAGAAACUGAUUACCCAAAAGAUUUAAGUACAACAGAACAAAACAUAAUACCAUAUCUUUGCAUUUGCUUCUUUUUACCUCUUACAUGAAAGGUAUUUACUGACACGUCUCUCCCUUCUUGGUAAGUUUGGUGUGCACCUAAUAAUAAUCUCCAGAUAAGUGCAGUUGUGAAGGUAUCACAACCUUAUUGUUGCUAAAUGUUUUAUAGAUAUUGUAAUGAGUAAUAAAGUAAAAUUUAUUUUAAUUAAAUGCUUCCA